This 72-nucleotide transfer RNA is filed under the name Pisolithus tinctorius. RNAcentral's name for it is "tRNA-Cys". It matches the Rfam family "tRNA". From Rfam's summary of the family: Transfer RNA (tRNA) molecules are approximately 80 nucleotides in length. Their secondary structure includes four short double-helical elements and three loops (D, anti-codon, and T loops). Further hydrogen bonds mediate the characteristic L-shaped molecular structure. tRNAs have two regions of fundamental functional importance: the anti-codon, which is responsible for specific mRNA codon recognition, and the 3' end, to which the tRNAs corresponding amino acid is attached (by aminoacyl-tRNA synthetases). tRNAs cope with the degeneracy of the genetic code in two manners: having more than one tRNA (with a specific anti-codon) for a particular amino acid; and 'wobble' base-pairing, i.e. permitting non-standard base-pairing at the 3rd anti-codon position. Lineage: Eukaryota; Fungi; Basidiomycota; Agaricomycetes; Boletales; Pisolithaceae. RNAcentral also lists the same sequence under 4 other names. The record is from RNAcentral.
GGCCUUAUAGCUCAGUGGUAGAGCAUACGAUUGCAGAUCGUGCGGUCCCGUGUUCGAACCACGGUGGGGCCU